GUUCCAAGUCUUUGCUAUUGUGAAUAGUGCUGCACUAAACAUAUGUGUGCAUGUGUCUUUAUAGUAGAAUGAUUUGUAAUCUUUUGGGUAUAUACCCAAUAAUGAGAUUGCUGGGUCAACUGGUUCUAGUUCUAGAUUCUUGAGGAAUUGCCACACUGUCUUCCACAAUGGUUGAACUAAUUUACACUCCCACCAACAGUGUAAUACCAUUCCUAUUUUUCCACAUCCUCUCCAGCAUCUGUUGUUUCCUGACUUUUUAAUGAUUGCCAUUCUAACUGGCAUGAGAUGGUAUCUCAUUGUGAUUUUGAUUUGCAUUUCUCUAAUGACCAGUGAUGAUGAGCAUUUUUUCAUAUGUUUGUUGGCUGCAUAAAUGUCUUCUUUUGAGAAGUGUGUCUUCAUAUACUUGCCCAUUUUUUGAUUUUUUUUUUCUUGUAAAUUUGUUUAAGUUCUUUGUAGAUUCUGGAUAUUAGCCCCUUGUCAGAUGGAUAGAUUACAAAAAUUUUCUCCCAUUCUGUAGGUUGCUUGUUCACUCUGAUGAUAGUUUCUUUUGCUGUGCAGAAGCUCUUUAGUUUAAUUAGAUCCCAUUUGCCAAUUUUGGCUUUUGUUUCCAUUGCUUUUAGUGUUUUAGACAUGAAGUCUUUGCCCAUCCCUGUGUCCUGAAUGGUAUUGCCCAGGUUUUCUUAUAGAAUUUUUAUGGUUUUACAUCUUAUGUUUAAGUCUUUAAUCCAUCUUGAGUAGAUUUUUGUAUAAGGUGUAACGAAAGGGUCCAGUUUCAGUUUUCUGCAUAUGGCUAGCCAGUUUUCCCAGCACCAUUUAUUAUAUAGGGAAUCUUUUCCCGAUUGCUUGUGUCAGGUUUGUCAAAGAUCAGUUGGUUGUAGAUGUGUGGUGUUAUUUCUGAGACCUCCGUUCUGUUCCAUUAGUCUAUAUAUCUGUUUUGGUACCAGUACCAUGCUGUUUUGUUUAUGGUAGCCUUGUAGUAUAGUUUGAAGUCAGGUAGCGUGAUGCCUCCAGCUUUGUUCUUUUGGCUUAGGAUUGUCUUGGCUAUAUGGACUCUUAUUUGGUUCCAUAUAAAGUUUAAAGUAGGCUUUUCCAAUUCUGUGAAGAAAGUCAGUGGUAGCUCGAUGGGGAUAGCAAUGAAUCUAUAAAUUACUUUGGACAGUAUGGCCAUUUUCAUGAUAUUAAUUUUUCCUAUCUAUGAGCAUGGAAUGUUUUUCCAUUUGUUUGUGUCCUCUCUUAUUUCCUUGAGUAGUGGUUUGUAGUUCUCCUUGAAGAGGUCCUUCACAUCCCUUGUAAGUUGGAAUCCUAGGUAUUUUAUUCUCUUUAUAGCAAUAGUGAAUCGGAGUUCACUCAUGAUUUGGCUCUCUGUUUGUCUGUUAUUGAUGUAUAGAAAUGAUUGUGAUUUUUGCACAUUGAUUUUGUAUCCUGAGACUUUGCUGAAGUUGCUUAUUAGCUUGAGGAGAUUUUGGGCUGAGACAAUGGCAUUUUCUAAAUAUACAAUCAUGUCAUCUGUAAACAGAGACAGUAUGACUUCCUCUCUUCCUAUUUGAAUACCCUUUAUUUCUUUCUCUUGCCUGAUUUCCGUGGCCAGAAAUUUCAAUACUGUGUUCAAUAGGAGGGGUGAGAGAGUGCAUCACUGUCUUGUGCUGGUUUUCAAAAGGAAUACUUCCAGUUUUUGCCCAUUCAGUAUGAUAUUGGCUGUGGGUUUGUCAUAAAUAGCUCUUAUUAUUUUGAGAUACGUUCCAUCGACACCUAGUUUAUUGAGCGUUUUUAGCAUGAAGGGCUGUUGAAUUUUGUCGAAGGCCUUUUCAGCAUCUAUUGAGAUAAUCAUGUGGUUUUUGCCAUUGGUUUUGUUUAUGUAAUGGAUUACGUUUAUUGAUUUGUGUAUGUUGAACCAGCCUUGCAUCCCAGGUAUGAAGCCAACUUGAUCGUGGUGGAUAAGCUUUUCCAGGCUAGCUAGAUAUCUCUACCUGAGAGCUUCCCUGGUGCUAAUGUUUAGCAGAGUCUAUUAAUCCUCUGUUUCACCUGGUGUUGCAGAGGGUGUCAUGGUGGAAUCAGGGGAGGAAUCAGCCUAUAUUGCCGCCUUUUGUUGCUAAGUUGGGGACAGGAAGUGCCAUGUCAGGGUUUCUUUCUUCGGGUUUGCAAGGGCAUGUAAAAACCUUCUGACACUAAUCUUUCUUCAGUCCUACAGUGGCCUGCCUUACUGCCUUUCAGAUUUCUCAUUUGAUUGUUUUUGUGUUAUUUUCAGAGUUUAUAAUUGUACUAAAUACUCUAUAUAGUAUUGCCCAAACCACAAAUAAGCAUAUAUUUUUAAAGAAAUUAUGAGGUAGUUGAGUUGAUAUGAAACUUUCCUCUGUCCAUUGAUUGGGUUUAUACAACUUUAUACAAAAAGUAUAAUGAUAUAAUCAACAAGGACUUGAAGAGCUUGCUAUUAAUAAUCUCCUCGCAUUAGUUCGUUUUCAUGCUGCUGAUAAAGACAUACCCAAGACUGGACAAAUUACAAAAGAAAGAGGCUUAUCGGACUUACAGUUCCACAUGGCUGGGGAGGCCUCACAGUAACGGCAGAAGAUGCUGAACAGAUGCCAGUGCAAUGCUUUUGGUACUUCUCAGUCUGCAGAACUAGGGAAGAAAAAAGAUAAGAUAAAGAAAAAUAUUCUACCAGACACAUGGGAAUCAGUGACAAGGCCUGACAUAUACAUUACGGGAGCACCAGAAGACGCAGUAGAAUGAAUGUGUCAAUGGCAACAGUUGAAGAUAUACUGAAAAAUUGAUGGACAAAAUGCCAAAGAUUCAUCACGUUCUUUGAACUCCAAGCAGAAUAAAUAGAUAAGUAGAAAGGAAAUCACAUUUAGACAAAUGCAUAGCAAAACUCCAAAGGAGCAAGGAAAAAGUCUACAUUUUAAAAAUCAGCUUGGAGUUGAAAACAAGGCUACAGUCCGCAAGUCAUGAUACCACGAUAAACAUUUUAAAAGAGGAAAAUUUAAGAAAAUCCCAGUGUAUUCACCUAUGAAGUGUAAAGUCAUGAACAACAUGAGAACAAUGCAACUAUGGCACACAUUUAGACGCUGUUACGAGUAACAACAAAAAAAAUUUUGCAGCGUUUGAAAUUAUAUUCAGCGUAACUUUUUGUACUUAUAUACACUACUACUGUAUAAAUUUAAAAAAUUAAUGUCAUUAAUUUCCUCUAAAAAGUGAUUAUUUUUAAUUGGGCUAGUUUGCCUGCCAGGAAAACUUUCAUGUACAUUUUGUUGAUUCAAAUCAAUAAAAAUCCAGGAAUAAUGUGAGCUAAUUAUGCUUUAAAAUGUG
This 3303-nucleotide long non-coding RNA is filed under the name Homo sapiens (human). Its description in RNAcentral is "HSALNT0308021". Lineage: Eukaryota; Metazoa; Chordata; Mammalia; Primates; Hominidae. The record is from RNAcentral.